This is a long non-coding RNA of Peromyscus eremicus (cactus mouse), 2803 nucleotides long. RefSeq lists it as uncharacterized. The transcript has 5 exons. The record is from RefSeq and is a predicted model, not a curated record. Lineage: Eukaryota; Metazoa; Chordata; Mammalia; Rodentia; Cricetidae.
UGUGGCCAUGACCCAGGAAGUGAUCAUCACCCACGGCCAGCCCCAGGAUGCAGGCCCAGCUUCUUCCCGAACCCGGAGGCGUCACAGCUGGAAGGAGGUCAAGAAAACAAUCAUGAACUGCCUCAGAAACCUCUGUUGCUGCUGCCUGCUUCCUGCAGAGAGAGGCCAUGCCUCCCGCAACAACCUGGCUCCAAAGGGAAGGGAUCAUGGAGUCACCCCCAGAACCAGUCCUCAAGAGGUCAAGCCCCAGCUCCAUGGCUUGUGAACCACAGGUUGGGGACCAGUCUGGCUGAGAAUCGGACAGCCCCAUGGGAAGCCAGGCCAGAUGUCUGGGAGGCAGUGUGGAUACAGGCCCCUCCUGCAGAGGAAGAGCUGUCCACCCCAGCGCAGAUCUCUCCAGGCCACCAUUCCCAUUGGGAACUGGAUUCUGCACUCACUACCACGUGCCACACCAUGAGGGAGUGAUAGGUGUCGUGAUAUGGAUCGAACCAGAAACCCUUAUGAAGGGGCAGCAACCUGCUGUGGGCCCUGCCUCGUGCCAGCCCAAGUCUGUACUCAGAGGGCAUAUCUGUAAGGUCACUUGUUCUUGCACAGCUGACCUAGUCUUUUUAUUGAGAGUCUUUUGAAGUACCACAAGCUGAGCUGUAUCCGGAUGCCGCUCUUCUUCUGAAGCUGGUGAGCUGUGAUCUGGGCAGGAGGGAGGGAAAGGAGGCUGUCCCAGUCCCAUGCCCUCUCAAGGACACUCAGGUCAGUAUACAGCAGUCCCUGGACUGCCACCUGUGUAGCCGGGCAGCUUUGAAGGAUGUUCUGACUAGCGGCCCUCAAGUUGGUCUCAUCUAACUCUCUAUGCAGCUCCGUGGGACAGGAUGGAAGGCACAAGCCUCAACCAGCCCAUGUCCAGACCUGCAGCUGAUGACCCUAUGAGAGGGAGCCUCACCCCCACUGUGUAGCUGGAGAAUUUCUCUCCAGCUCCCUCUAAGUCCUGCCAGUCCCGGAACCCACUUAUAAAAUAAACACACAGACUCUUACAUUAUUUAAACUGCUUGGCCAUUAGCUCAGGCCUAUCAUUGUCUAGCUCUUACUCUUAUAUUUAGCCCAUUUCUAUUAAUCUUUACUUUGCCAUGUGGCUUGUGGCUUACUGGUACCUUAUAUCUUGCUUGUCAUGGCUGUGGCUGGCAGGUCUCUCUGACUCAGCCUUCCACUUCCCAGAAUUCUCUUCUCUGUUAGUCCCGCCUAUCCUUCCUGUCUACUGGCCAAUCAGUGUUUUAUUUACUAACCAAUCAGAGCAACAUAUUUGACAUACAGAACAUCCCUCGCCCCUCGGGAGAUCUCAUACCCCUCACAUUUAGCCAGUUCUAGGGAGUUUGUGCAUUUUUCUUAAGACUAGAUGCCAGAGCCAGGGUGAAGGUGUAUGCCUAUAAUCCCAGGACUCUGGAGGCUUAAUCAGGAGACUAGCCAUAAAUUCAAGGCCAGCCUGGGCUAUAUAAGGAGCAGUAGUCUAGCCUUGGUGGCACUGUGAGAUUCUCUCUCUUUCUAAAACAGAAAGUGAACAACAGGACUAGUGUUCCGUGUGCCUUGCAUGCACACUGGUUCUUGGCCCUGGGUUCUUGUCCAGCAUAAAAUAAAACCAGGUGGAGCAUGCUGAGAAUCCCAGUAUUCGAGGGUGGAGACAAGAGGAUCAGGCAGUUAAGGUCAUCUUCCAACAUGGAAGUCAGAGUUGGAGGUCAGUCUAGGAGGAAUGACACUCUAUUUUAAAAGUAAACAACCCCUAUCCCCAAAUCUUAAUACCCAAAUCUAAACAGUGACAUGGCAGCCCAUAACAACCACAUAUUCUGUGUGAAUCAGAAGACCUUUCUGAUAGAGAGAAGAAAGUCGGGCAUCUAGAUGUGCAGUGCAGUAAUUUUUUUCCCUGUGACUCCAUCUGGAACUGGCCUCAGCAUUGAGUUCAUCCCCUGUGCACAGCACUGAAGAGCUGUUCAACAAGUACUUCAUGCUGGCCCUGUGGGAGGCACUGGGGAGCUGUGUAAGUAGUGCUCCCUGUUGAUCCUGUGGGGGGCAGUCAGGAGGAAGGUUUGGAGAGCAUGGAGACCCCCAUCUGUGCCAAUAGGAAAGGCAGGAAGGCUGCUGGCCCUGCAACCUGUCAGAAACUCUGGUGUUGUGCUGCCCCCUUGUGGCACUUCUAUACCAGUUCCGUGUUAGUGCACCUGGUUGGUAGAGGUCCUGCUUCACCUGGUGCCAACCACUGGGGUGGUUGGGUGGGUUUGUGGGUGGGGUGGGGGUAGGCUUGCACCGCUAUACCCAUCUAACGUGAUUUUGUCCUUCCUUCUUUCAUUCCUUUUCCCCAUUAUCACAGUAAAGGAACAAAUACUUUUCAUAGCUCUGCUGACCACGAGAUGGCCUUGAAGAAAUUGCAUAGACACACACUGCUGUUCCUGGCUCUGUUGUUUAUAAGGCUAGACGACUGGGCAGUGAGUCAAGAGUGUGAAGUCGACACUCUGGGUGAUUUCAGAAGCAUAAGAGGACCGGGACAGUGACUGUCUGUUUUUACAUUACCUGCUUCUUUCGUGAGAUAGGAAUUCGUUCCCCAGAAUGCAAGAAAAAGGACGAGCAGGCUUGCUGAAGCUUGUCACCCCAGCACUUGGAGAUGAAGACAGCACGAGACGAGGUGCCUCUCAGAAGCUGAGGAGGAUGGCCCUGCACUCGGGAGCAAAGGCCACCUUGAUCAAUUUUACUGGCAUUAACCCCCCUGCAAAUCAUUGCAAUAUGUUUACUAUGUUGGGAAUAAAAUGGCAUUGUUAAAUGA